CCUACGGGAGGCAGCAGUCGGGAAUUUUGCGCAAUGGGCGAAAGCCUGACGCAGCAACGCCGCGUGAGGGAUGAAGGCCUUCGGGUUGUAAACCUCUUUUCUCAGGGAAGAUAAUGACGGUACCUGAGGAAUAAGUCACGGCUAACUACGUGCCAGCAGCCGCGGUAAU
This 169-nucleotide ribosomal RNA is filed under the name uncultured bacterium. RNAcentral describes it as "partial 16S rRNA". It matches the Rfam family "Bacterial small subunit ribosomal RNA", at positions 338 to 524 of the family's 1533-position model. The record is from RNAcentral.